This 419-nucleotide ribosomal RNA is filed under the name uncultured bacterium. RNAcentral's name for it is "partial 16S ribosomal RNA". It matches the Rfam family "Bacterial small subunit ribosomal RNA", at positions 360 to 776 of the family's 1533-position model. The record is from RNAcentral.
AAUAUUGGUCAAUGGACGGAAGUCUGAACCAGCCAUGCCGCGUGAAGGAAGACCGCCCUAUGGGUUGUAAACUCCUUUUAUCCGGGGACAAACUUAUCUUUGCGAAGAUAGCUGAAGGUACCGUAUGAUAAAGCACCGGCUAACUCUGUGCCACCAGCCGCGGUAAUACGGAGGAUGCGAGCGUUAUCCGGAUUUAUUGGGUUUAAAGGGUGCGUAGGCGGACAAAUAAGUCAGUGGUGAAAUCACUCAGCUUAACCGAGUAACUGCCAUUGAUACUGUUAGUCUAGAAUGUAAAUGGAGUAGGCGGAAUGAAUCAUGUAGAGGUGACAUUCAUAGAUAUGAUUCAGAACACCGAUCGCGAAGGCAGCUUGCUAAGAUACAAUUGACGCUGAGGCACGAAAGCGUGGGUAGCAAACAGG